AUCACUUCUCAGCCUUUUGGCUAAGAUCAAGUGUAGUAUCUGUUCUUAUCAGUUUAAUUUUUUUUUUUAAUAUUAGGAAAAAAAUUUUUACAGAGAGAGUAAUCAGACAUUGGAAUGGGCUGCCUGGGGAGGUGGUGGAUUCACCAUCCCUGGAGGGGAAACUGGAUGUAGCACUUAGUGCCAUGGUCUAGUAACC
This 196-nucleotide small nuclear RNA is filed under the name Lepidothrix coronata (blue-crowned manakin). RNAcentral describes it as "U2 spliceosomal RNA (ENSLCOG00000005702.1)". It matches the Rfam family "U2 spliceosomal RNA". From Rfam's summary of the family: U2 is a small nuclear RNA (snRNA) component of the spliceosome (involved in pre-mRNA splicing). The record is from RNAcentral. Lineage: Eukaryota; Metazoa; Chordata; Aves; Passeriformes; Pipridae.